RNAcentral lists this long non-coding RNA (537 nucleotides) under Apteryx rowi (Okarito brown kiwi). RNAcentral describes it as "lncRNA (ENSARWG00000018277.1)". The record is from RNAcentral. Lineage: Eukaryota; Metazoa; Chordata; Aves; Apterygiformes; Apterygidae.
UUGUGCUACUAUUGUGCUUCUGUAAGCAGCUCUGGAGUAUAAAGACACCCACUCUUCUGUGACUUCACAACUGAGGAAAAUGUAUUGUCUAAUUGCAGUGGAUACAACUAAAGAAGUGAUAUUUCACAUUAAUUCCACUGGAUGGCACUGAAGGAGACAAGAUUGCAUGGAAGUAUCUCCAGAAGUUCAGUAUAACUCCAAAAAGUGCCAUGCUGGAAAUGUGGCACAUCUCCUCACUAUAAAGGCAACCUUAGGGUGGUACCAUUUCUUCCCAGGCUGGAUACAGAUUGUCCUCAAACUACCAGGCUGCACAAACACACAGGAAGCACUGAUGAUACCAGGGCAACUUUUUCUGAGGUUAUGGGUGAUGGGCCAUGUCUUAGAGACAUAUAACUCAAACUGCAUUUAUUUUAAUAAGUAGAAAACUGAUUAACUACUUUUUUAAAGCAGCAAAAAAUAUUUCAAGACUGUAUAAAAGCCUUCAAAAUUGAAAUUUCUUUCAGAUUUCCCCCCCAAAACAUCCAUCUAAGAAGGCAG